RNAcentral lists this ribosomal RNA (311 nucleotides) under uncultured bacterium. Its description in RNAcentral is "bacterial SSU rRNA". It matches the Rfam family "Bacterial small subunit ribosomal RNA", at positions 181 to 507 of the family's 1533-position model. The record is from RNAcentral.
CGAUGGGGCAUCCUGUUGAUACCAAAGCUUAAUGUGCUGAAAGAUGGUCUCGCGUCUGAUUAGCUAGUUGGUGAGGUAACGGCUCACCAAGGCGACGAUCAGUAGCCGGUCUGAGAGGAUGAACGGCCACAUUGGGACUGAGAUACGGCCCAGACUCCUACGGGAGGCAGCAGUGGGGAAUAUUGGGCAAUGGGGGAAACCCUGACCCAGCAACGCCGCGUGAAGGAAGAAGGCCUUCGGGUUGUAAACUUCUUUUACCAGGGACGAAGAACGUGACGGUACCUGGAGAAAAAGCAACGGCUAACUACGUG